Molecule: long non-coding RNA, 1599 nt
Organism: Chinchilla lanigera (long-tailed chinchilla)
Lineage: Eukaryota; Metazoa; Chordata; Mammalia; Rodentia; Chinchillidae
Exons: 3
Source: RefSeq, a predicted model, not a curated record
UGGAUGGGGCAGUGCGGACGCUGAGGGGCUGUGAUUGCACGGGAGACCACGGCCCCAACCUCCUCGAGGGACAUUUUUCUGCCCAUAGCCACGCCCUUGACGAAAUUCAUUUUGAAAACCACGCCCUAAAUGAAAUUUCAUCUUCGGAACGCCCUUAAGGGGCGGGGCCUGCCACAGAAUCCAAUCGCGUCACAGAUGGGGACUAGCGUUUCUCUGAUUCGCGGUUGGAGGACGCGGCCGUUCCCGCCCACCCUGCUGUCUUCACCAAUCCGAAACCUCAAACUCAACCCCCCCCCCCCCUUCCACUUCCGGCAAAUUCACUCGCCCGAAAUGGAAGCGCUGUGCUUGGUUUUGGCCGCCGUCCCUCGCCGUCCUCACGUUCUGAGGUCAUGGUUCCUGCGUCACCGCAUGGCUCCCUGAUCACAUGACCUCCUAGGAAGGCCCGAGUGCUCAAUGGAGGGGGGUGAAGUUCUUCCUGGGUGUCCCGCCGGUGUCCACACCUGCCCCGUGAGGAGCCCCUUUUAGAUGCGUCUUGUGGGUGUGGAGAUUUCAGCCGGUGGAUGAAUUACGGCGUGAGGAGCAGCGUGCGUCUUCAUCACGCACUGCUGGCUGUGCGUCUUCGCGGGUAUUGUUCAGAUGCUGCUCGGGCUGCUCUCAGCUUCUCAGUUUCCCGCGGGUACUGCAAGAGGACUUCAGAGUGCGGUUUGAGUUCCUCACGUGUUCACCCUCCUGGAUUUGGGAUGGCUUUGUGAGGCCCGGGGCAGAAGGACUGAGGUCUGGCGCCUUGUGACCACAGUGCAGAACGUGGUGGCCACCACCCAGGACAUAGACACCCAUGCUUCCCUCCCCGAGCUUCCAAGUGGAGAGCGACUCCACCAAAAUGUCAUUUGUCCUGGGUCAGUUUGAGCCUGACCUAACAGUUCUCCUGCUGGAAAAAAAAAAAUCCUGAGGUGUUCACGGGUGGGAACUGUCUAUGCAACAAGAACAGGGCGCAGCGGGUGUGCGAUGCUAGCCCAGGAAAACGGACCGGGUAGAGGCCCUUCUGCCAGGUGCUGCACACGCGAGGCAUUGCUGAGCACCGACGGGCAGCAUCCAUUUACAGACAAAAUGACUGCGAUCGCUGAUUUCAAAUACACGUUUCCAGCAGCCCAUGCUCAUGGACCCAUUUAAAAGGAAGAGGAGCGUCCACAGUUUACCUAGUCACCUACCCCAUGGCUUUGGUUGCCUCUUGUAUUCUGCUGUGCAGUUUGUAACGCUACUUUUACUUCUAGGCCUAAGUACUGUAUCUGGCUUCUUUGAAUGCAGUACAUAAUUUGCCCCGCUGCAGUAAUGGAUGUCCAAUAAACCUGCCAUUUUGAGUAAACACCAGUAAAAUCAUGUUUAAAACCCACAAAACCUUAGGCUCUUAAAGACAGCCAGGCUCCAAGACCACAGUCUAGCCAUCCCUGCCUGGGAUGUUUCAAAAAAAAUUAACGAGCUUCACCAGAUGUUGCCUGGUUUCUGCUUUCUGGCUCCUUUGAGAGCUGUUUUGCUUCCACUCUUUUGGCGGUACAACUUAAAUGUCUGGUUUCAUUCAUUCAUUUAUUUACUCAAUUUAUU